GAGAACAUUAUUUGUUUAGUUAGCGAAUACAAUCAUCAUGCACAUUUAAAUUAUUUAACACACAGUAAAACAAUAAAAUUUAAUAAACGUCUUAUCAACGACAGUUAAUAUUUACAACUACAAUCAACACAUACGAUUUUAAACCUUACACCUAAGACAAAGACUCCAAAAUAGUAUUAAAGAACAUAAAAUCCCACAAUACACUAGCUUCCUAAAAUACGUGAGGAAAUAAAUUGUACAAAUUAAACAGUUGUGUAAGCGAUAUAAUGCGGUAUGGCCUUGUUUUAAGGACGAUAAUGGCGUGUGUUGUUUUGAUAAGGUGUGUUAACUUUACUGGUGUGGUGUGCGUGUAUAUGACAAUGGGCGCUCGAUGUGAGACACAGGUUUACAAACUAAGACUAAAGACAGUCGUAUGCGCAUCGUCGUGGAAAGAAAAUCGUGUGUAAAGAAAUUGUGUAGUGUGGAAAACUUAUGAUUGUAAUAUGAGAACAGUUUUUAAGGAAAAUGUGUUUAAAGGAAAACCUUUAGUGCUAGUGUUUUGGAUUACAUAAAUGCGUCUCCCCAACCGCACAAAUGUGGACCUACUCCAGCGUGGACAUACCAGGGCAGCAUGUCAGCAGAACAGAUCGAAUCAAGAUCUACCUCUCAGAGUGUGUAGUAUGCUUCUGUAUAGUGUUCUUCAUACUAUGUGUUGGACUGCUCCUAUACUUGUUCUUCCAUUUGUACACUACUGUAACUAAUGCUGGCAAACUUGCUGGCACUCUAGCUGAGAGUUAGUGUCAGUAUUGAAAUGAAGACUGAACUUGCGUCAGUAUGUGAUAAUUUAGUUUGUAAGUUGUUUGAUGUCAUGUCGGAUUAGUUGAUAUUAUGUCCAAGGGCAAAUGGUGUAUUAACGCUACUCGAAUGGAAAUGUUAGAGUAUAGGCUUGACAUAAGCUUUCGAUGUAAUUUGUCAACUGUCAGUGUAGAUUUUGUGCAUUCAUUUUAUCUCAAUCGAAUAGGCUAGCGUUUUUGCCAUUUGUUUCCUAGCACUGUAAAAAAACAACCUUUAGUUAUAGGGCGCUUUCCAUCAGAGAUAUGCUAUGUAACUAUGCUACGGAGAUGUAAUAGUUAAUGUGUGAAACUAUUUGACCAAACGAAUGAAUAUGAUUGGUGGAAGCCAAACGCAUGCACACCCUUAAUCUGAAUUUUUAUUCAUUAUUAUAUUCAUUAUUACUAUAAAAUAGAAAUUUUGUUAGUUCAAAAAUAUUUGAUGAUGCCCAUUUUUACAAGGCCGGCGACUCAUUUGUGACUGCUCUGGUGUAGCAGUUGUCAAUAGGUAGCACUGAUCGUUUACCAUCAGGUGAUCCAUCUGCUAAUUAUUGCAUAAAAAGUUAUAUAACUACAAUAGGUUUAUUGUUUGUUUAUGAAUAAAUUAUAAGUUUAAUGAUCAUGUAAAUAAAUUAAUUUUAUUGAAGUGAUAUAUUGCUAUGUUUAUGAUGUGUACCUAUGUUUGUUAUUUCCUAUAAUUUCUUUAGAUAUGAAAUAUUCUAUCUUUUUCCUUGUUAUAACAAAAUAUUCUUAUUAUUCUUAACUAUAAUUUUCACUUUUAUAUGCAAGAGUUAUUUAUACAAUCACUGAUCAAUUUUGAUUUAUAUUUCAAAGACGAGCGAUUAGGGUAACUAAUAAGUUACCCUAAUCCAAACGAAAUAGAAAUCAAAAUCAAUUGCCAAACUUAUAAAUAGGGAAUAUCAAACUAUCUGUAUAGAUAUGUACUUACAAAUGAUCUAUGUAUAGAACUUAAAUUGAUAUAAUGAGUGAUCUCGAUGAUGUUAUUAUUAUACAAUGACUGAAGUAUUUCAUUUUAUUAUAUUUUUAAUAUAAUGUUACCAAGCCAUGUAAACUGGAUAUUGAUAUAAUAUAUUUCAUAAGUCGAAUUUGAA
This is a long non-coding RNA of Spodoptera frugiperda (fall armyworm), 1921 nucleotides long. RefSeq lists it as uncharacterized. The record is from RefSeq and is a predicted model, not a curated record. The transcript has 2 exons. Lineage: Eukaryota; Metazoa; Arthropoda; Insecta; Lepidoptera; Noctuidae.